UACGAAGGGGGCUAGCGUUGCUCGGAAUCACUGGGCGUAAAGCGCACGUAGGCGGACUCUUAAGUCGGUGGUGAAAUCCUGGAGCUCAACUCCAGAACUGCCUCCGAUACUGAGAGUCUCGAGUCCGGGAGAGGUGAGUGGAACUGCGAGUGUAGAGGUGAAAUUCGUAGAUAUUCGCAAGGACACCAGUGGCGAAGGCGGCUCACUGGCCCGGUGCUGACGCUGAGGUGCGAAAGCGUGGGGAGCAAACAGG
This 253-nucleotide ribosomal RNA is filed under the name uncultured bacterium. Its description in RNAcentral is "partial 16S ribosomal RNA". It matches the Rfam family "Bacterial small subunit ribosomal RNA", at positions 524 to 776 of the family's 1533-position model. The record is from RNAcentral.